Molecule: ribosomal RNA, 206 nt
Filed under: uncultured bacterium
Lineage: Bacteria
Description: partial 16S ribosomal RNA
Rfam family: Bacterial small subunit ribosomal RNA
Source: RNAcentral
CGCGUAGGCGGGCCGCCAGGCCCGUGGUGAAAUCCCCCGGCUCAACCGGGGAAGUGCCGCGGGGACCGGCGGUCUGGAGUGAGAUAGGGGCGUGCGGAACUGUGGGUGGAGCGGUGAAAUGCGUUGAUAUCCACAGGAACUCCGGUGGCGAAGGCGGCACGCUGGAUCUCUACUGACGCUGAGGCGCGAAAGCCAGGGGAGCAACG